GGGAAAUCUUACCGGGUCCGGACACACUGAGGAUUGACAGGUGUUUCGUUUUGAUGUUGGCAUUUAUCUAUAUAUAUAUUGUUUUAUUUUUACAUUAUGUAUGUACAUAAUGUUAUACAUUACAAAACAUUUCAAAUAUGCUAGUCCUUUCAUGAUUGUGUGAUAGGUGGUGCAUGGCCGUUCUUAGUUUGUGGAGUGAUCUGUCUGCUUAAUUGCGUUUCACUUAUGGCCACGGGUGUUUUAUACUAUUACUGUGGAUCUCAUCUGUUUUUUUUUAAAACGAUGACUGGUCCCGUAUGGUAUGCACUUGUGAAAGCCUCGAAGGCAACGAAC
RNAcentral lists this ribosomal RNA (333 nucleotides) under Allogromiina sp. A131. RNAcentral's name for it is "bacterial SSU rRNA". It matches the Rfam family "Eukaryotic small subunit ribosomal RNA", at positions 1207 to 1453 of the family's 1831-position model. Lineage: Eukaryota; Foraminifera; Allogromiidae. The record is from RNAcentral.